AAGACUAUACUUUCAGGAUCAUUUCUAUAGCUUGUUACUAGAGAAGUUUUUCUGAAAGCUUAGAGCACCCAGGAAAGGGUGGAAUGGGAGGUGGUAUGAAUGGU
This 104-nucleotide small nucleolar RNA is filed under the name Rhinolophus ferrumequinum (greater horseshoe bat). RNAcentral describes it as "Small nucleolar RNA U3 (ENSRFEG00010017606.1)". It matches the Rfam family "Small nucleolar RNA U3". From Rfam's summary of the family: Small nucleolar RNAs (snoRNAs) are involved in the processing and modification of rRNA in the nucleolus. There are two main classes of snoRNAs: the box C/D class, and the box H/ACA class. The record is from Rfam by way of RNAcentral. Lineage: Eukaryota; Metazoa; Chordata; Mammalia; Chiroptera; Rhinolophidae.